RNAcentral lists this ribosomal RNA (483 nucleotides) under uncultured bacterium. RNAcentral's name for it is "partial 16S ribosomal RNA". It matches the Rfam family "Bacterial small subunit ribosomal RNA", at positions 355 to 828 of the family's 1533-position model. The record is from RNAcentral.
UGGGGAAUUUUGGACAAUGGGCGAAAGCCUGAUCCAGCAAUGCCGCGUGUGUGAAGAAGGCCUUCGGGUUGUAAAGCACUUUUGUCCGGAAAGAAAUCCUUGGCUCUAAUACAGUCGGGGGAUGACGGUACCGGAAGAAUAAGCACCGGCUAACUACGUGCCAGCAGCCGCGGUAAUACGUAGGGUGCAAGCGUUAAUCGGAAUUACUGGGCGUAAAGCGUGCGCAGGCGGUUUGCUAAGACCGAUGUGAAAUCCCCGGGCUCAACCUGGGAACUGCAUUGGUGACUGGCGAGGCUAGAGUAUGGCAGGAGGGGGUAGAACUUCCACGUGUAGCAGUGAAAUGCGUAGAGAUGUGGAGGAAUACCGAUGGCGAAGGCAGCCCCUGGCAAUACUGACGCUCAUGCACGAAAGCGUGGGGAGCAAACAGGAUUCAGAUACCCCUGGUAGUCCAGCGCCCUAAACGAUGUCAACUAGUUGUUGGGA